GAUCAAUGAUGAUAUAAAGGCUAAUGUGACUCGACCAGCUGGGCUGCACCCUCAGCCCAUUCCAGUAAUACGGGUCUGUAAUCUUGGUGGACAAUGCUGAGCUGUGCAUGUUCGCUGUAAGGGCAGACCGACAGAAAAUAUGCUUCCCUGUGCCCCUGGAAAAUACAUCUUUGGGAUGUGCCAGCUCUGAGUGAGCGAUUCCAUGAGCUGCCCCAGGGCUGUGGGGAUAGGAUGGGACAGCGCCUCCAAGGUUUGGGUUGCAGGGGGCAGCCCGUGUUACAGCUGGCGAGACGUGAGCACAUGUCUUUGGUAAUCUGAUGACU
This 323-nucleotide small nucleolar RNA is filed under the name Merops nubicus (carmine bee-eater). The record is from RNAcentral. Lineage: Eukaryota; Metazoa; Chordata; Aves; Coraciiformes; Meropidae.